RNAcentral lists this ribosomal RNA (253 nucleotides) under uncultured bacterium. RNAcentral's name for it is "partial 16S ribosomal RNA". It matches the Rfam family "Bacterial small subunit ribosomal RNA", at positions 524 to 776 of the family's 1533-position model. The record is from RNAcentral.
UACGGGGGGGGCAAGCGUUGUUCGGAAUUACUGGGCGUAAAGGGUCUGUAGGUGGCCAAUUAAGUCAGACGUGAAAUCCCUCAGCUUAACUGGGGAACUGCGUCUGAGACUGGAUGGCUUGAGUGCAGGAGAGGAAUGCGGAAUUCCAGGUGUAGCGGUGAAAUGCGUAGAUAUCUGGAGGAACACCGGUGGCGAAGGCGGCAUUCUGGACUGCAACUGACACUGAGAGACGAAAGCCAGGGGAGCAAACGGG